Molecule: long non-coding RNA, 263 nt
Filed under: Salvia miltiorrhiza (redroot sage)
Lineage: Eukaryota; Viridiplantae; Streptophyta; Magnoliopsida; Lamiales; Lamiaceae
Description: long non-coding RNA (SMIL_LNC008565)
Source: RNAcentral
GAAUUGGUUCAAUUGAGAUUUAUAUAUAUUUUGAGAUUUUGAGAUAAAUGAACAUAUAAGUACAUUUUGAUGAACUUGUCAAUUAAUUUUUAUGAACGCGCGUUGGUCUGGGGUUCAAUCCCUACAAGUGGCGUGUUUUUUAAAUAAAUUAAAUAGAUUCAUAUGUUCAUCAGUUAUAUUGGUUAUGUUCAAAAAAUUUAUUGAUAUGUUCAUUUAUCUCAAAAUCUCAAAAAAUUUAAAAUCUCAAUAUAAGCUAACCCUAU